GAUGAACGCUGGCGGCGUGCCUAAUACAUGCAAGUCGAGCGAACGGACGAGAAGCUUGCUUCUCUGAUGUUAGCGGCGGACGGGUGAGUAACACGUGGAUAACCUACCUAUAAGACUGGGAUAACUUCGGGAAACCGGAGCUAAUACCGGAUAAUAUUUUGAACCGCAUGGUUCAAAAGUGAAAGACGGUCUUGCUGUCACUUAUAGAUGGAUCCGCGCUGCAUUAGCUAGUUGGUAAGGCAACGGCUUACCAAGGCAACGAUGCAUAGCCGACCUGAGAGGGUGAUCGGCCACACUGGAACUGAGACACGGUCCAGACUCCUACGGGAGGCAGCAGUAGGGAAUCUUCCGCAAUGGGCGAAAGCCUGACGGAGCAACGCCGCGUGAGUGAUGAAGGUCUUCGGAUCGUAAAACUCUGUUAUUAGGGAAGAACAUAUGUGUAAGUAACUGUGCACAUCCUGACGGUACCUAAUCAGAAAGCCACGGCUAACUACGUG
RNAcentral lists this ribosomal RNA (497 nucleotides) under uncultured bacterium. RNAcentral describes it as "partial 16S ribosomal RNA". It matches the Rfam family "Bacterial small subunit ribosomal RNA", at positions 28 to 507 of the family's 1533-position model. The record is from RNAcentral.